CACCAGGCGCGAAACCUUUGCAAUACACGAAAGUGUGACAGGGCUAUCCCGAGUGCCAUCCGCUGAGGAAGGCUUUUACCCAGUCUAGAACGCUGGGGGAAUAAGGAGAGGGCAAGUCUGGUGUCAGCCGCCGCGGUAAUACCAGCUCUCCGAGUGGUGUGGAUGUUUAUUGGGCCUAAAGCAUCCGUAGCUGGCUAGGUAAGUCCCUUGUUAAAUCCACCGAAUUAAUCGUUGGAUCGCGGGGGAUACUGCUUGGCUAGGGGACGAGAGAGGCAGACGGUAUUUUCGGGGUAGGGGUGAAAUCCUAUAAUCCCGGGAAGACCACCAGUGGCGAAGGCUGUCUGCUAGAACGCGCCCGACGGUGAGGGAUGAAAGCUGGGGGAGCGAACCGGAUUAGAUACCCGGGUAGUCCCAGCUGUAAACGAUGCAGACUAGGUGUUUGGACGGCCACGUGCCGUUCUAGUGCCGCAGGGAAGCUGUUAAGUCUGCCGCCUGGGGAGUACGAUCGCAAGAUUGAAACUUAAAGGAAUUGGC
This 534-nucleotide ribosomal RNA is filed under the name uncultured archaeon. RNAcentral describes it as "bacterial SSU rRNA". It matches the Rfam family "Archaeal small subunit ribosomal RNA", at positions 333 to 869 of the family's 1478-position model. The record is from RNAcentral.